GAUGAACGCUGGCGGCGUGCCUAAUACAUGCAAGUCGAGCGAACAGACGAGGAGCUUGCUCCUCUGACGUUAGCGGCGGACGGGUGAGUAACACGUGGAUAACCUACCUAUAAGACUGGGAUAACUUCGGGAAACCGGAGCUAAUACCGGAUAAUAUAUUGAACCGCAUGGUUCAAUAGUGAAAGACGGUUUUGCUGUCACUUAUAGAUGGAUCCGCGCCGCAUUAGCUAGUUGGUAAGGUAACGGCUUACCAAGGCAACGAUGCGUAGCCGACCUGAGAGGGUGGUCGGCCACACUGGAACUGGGACACGGUCCAGACUCCUACGGGAGGCAGCAGUAGGGAAUCUUCCGCAAUGGGCGAAAGCCUGACGGAGCAACGCCGCGUGAGUUAUGAAGGUCUUCGGAUCGGAAAACUCUGUUAUUAGGGAAGAACAAAUGUGUAAGUAACUAUGCACGUCUUGACGGUACCUAAUCAGAAAGCCACGGCUAACUACGUG
This 497-nucleotide ribosomal RNA is filed under the name uncultured bacterium. Its description in RNAcentral is "partial 16S ribosomal RNA". It matches the Rfam family "Bacterial small subunit ribosomal RNA", at positions 28 to 507 of the family's 1533-position model. The record is from RNAcentral.